RNAcentral lists this ribosomal RNA (497 nucleotides) under uncultured bacterium. Its description in RNAcentral is "partial 16S ribosomal RNA". It matches the Rfam family "Bacterial small subunit ribosomal RNA", at positions 28 to 507 of the family's 1533-position model. The record is from RNAcentral.
GAUGAACGCUGGCGGCGUGCCUAAUACAUGCAAGUCGAGCGAACGGACGAGAAGCUUGCUUCUCUGAUGUUAGCGGCGGACGGGUGAGUAACACGUGGAUAACCUACCUAUAAGACUGGGAUAACUUCGGGAAACCGGAGCUAAUACCGGAUGAUAUUUUGAACCGCAUGGUUCAAAAGUGAAAGACGGUCUUGCUGUCACUUAUAGAUGGAUCCGCGCUGCAUUAGCUAGUUGGUAAGGUAACGGCUUACCAAGGCGACGAUGCAUAGCCGACCUGAGAGGGUGAUCAGCCACACGGGAACGGAGACACGGUCCAGACUCCUACGGGAGGGAGCAGUGGGGAAUAGUGGACGAUGGGCGCAAGCCGGGUCGAGCGAGACCGCGUGGUAGAAGAAGGCUUUCGGGUUGUAAAGCCCUUUUGUUGGGAAAGAAAAGCAGCAGGUUAAUACCCCGCUGUUCUGACGGUACCCAAAGAAUAAGCACCGGCUAACUUCGUG